UACGGGGGGGCAAGCGUUGUUCGGAAUUAUUGGGCGUAAAGGGUUCGUAGGUGGCCGGCUAAGUCAGACGUGAAAUCCCUCAGCUUAACUGGGGAACUGCGUCUGAGACUGGUCGGCUUGAGUGCAGGAGAGGAACGCGGAAUUCCAGGUGUAGCGGUGAAAUGCGUAGAUAUCUGGAGGAACACCGGUGGCGAAGGCGGCGUUCUGGACUGCUACUGACACUGAGGAACGAAAGCCAGGGGAGCAAACGGG
Molecule: ribosomal RNA, 252 nt
Filed under: uncultured bacterium
Lineage: Bacteria
Description: partial 16S ribosomal RNA
Rfam family: Bacterial small subunit ribosomal RNA
Source: RNAcentral